GAUUGUAGUCUGCAACUCGACUACAUGAAGCUGGAAUCGCUAGUAAUCGCGAAUCAGCAUGUCGCGGUGAAUACGUUCCCGGGUCUUGUACACACCGCCCGUCACACCAUGGGAGUCGGUAACGCCCGAAGUCAGUGACCCAACCGCAAGGAGGGAGCUGCCGAAGGUGGAGCUGGUAACUGGGGUGAAGUCGUAACAAGGUAAC
This 205-nucleotide ribosomal RNA is filed under the name uncultured bacterium. RNAcentral's name for it is "partial 16S ribosomal RNA". It matches the Rfam family "Bacterial small subunit ribosomal RNA", at positions 1296 to 1500 of the family's 1533-position model. The record is from RNAcentral.